This 353-nucleotide unclassified non-coding RNA is filed under the name soil metagenome. RNAcentral describes it as "partial contains 5.8S ribosomal RNA, internal transcribed spacer 2, and large subunit ribosomal RNA". The stretch from base 1 to 120 matches the Rfam family "5.8S ribosomal RNA", at positions 35 to 154 of the family's 154-position model. The record is from RNAcentral.
GAUGAAGAACGCAGCGAAAUGCGAUAAGUAAUGUGAAUUGCAGAAUUCAGUGAAUCAUCGAAUCUUUGAACGCACAUUGCGCCCGCCAGUAUUCUGGCGGGCAUGCCUGUUCGAGCGUCAUUACAACCCUCAGGCCCCCGGGCCUGGCGUUGGGGAUCGGCGGAAGCCCCCUGCGGGCACAACGCCGUCCCCCAAAUACAGUGGCGGUCCCGCCGCAGCUUCCAUUGCGUAGUAGCUAACACCUCGCAACUGGAGAGCGGCGCGGCCACGCCGUAAAACACCCAACUUCUGAAUGUUGACCUCGAAUCAGGUAGGAAUACCCGCUAAACUUAAGCAUAUCAAUAAGCGGAGGA